RNAcentral lists this ribosomal RNA (549 nucleotides) under uncultured bacterium. RNAcentral describes it as "bacterial SSU rRNA". It matches the Rfam family "Bacterial small subunit ribosomal RNA", at positions 355 to 896 of the family's 1533-position model. The record is from RNAcentral.
UGGGGAAUAUUGGACAAUGGGCGAAAGCCUGAUCCAGCCAUGCCGCGUGUGUGAAGAAGGCCUUUUGGUUGUAAAGCACUUUAAGUGGGGAGGAAAAGCUUGUGGUUAAUACCCAUAAGCCCUGACGUUACCCACAGAAUAAGCACCGGCUAACUCUGUGCCAGCAGCCGCGGUAAUACAGAGGGUGCAAGCGCUAAUCGGAAUUACUGGGCGUAAAGCGCGCGUAGGUGGUUAUUUAAGUCAGAUGUGAAAGCCCCGGGCUUAACCUGGGAACUGCAUCUGAUACUGGAUAACUAGAGUAGGUGAGAGGGGAGUAGAAUUCCAGGUGUAGCGGUGAAAUGCGUAGAGAUCUGGAGGAAUACCGAUGGCGAAGGCAGCUCCCUGGCAUCAUACUGACACUGAGGUGCGAAAGCGUGGGUAGCAAACAGGAUUAGAUACCCUGGUAGUCCACGCCGUAAACGAUGUCUACCAGUCGUUGGGUCUUUUAAAGACUUAGUGACGCAGUUAACGCAAUAAGUAGACCGCCUGGGGAGUACGGCCGCAAGGUUA